Molecule: ribosomal RNA, 1384 nt
Filed under: Pediococcus pentosaceus
Lineage: Bacteria; Bacillati; Bacillota; Bacilli; Lactobacillales; Lactobacillaceae
Description: 16S ribosomal RNA
Rfam family: Bacterial small subunit ribosomal RNA
Source: RNAcentral
GAGUGGCGAACGGGUGAGUAACACGUGGGUAACCUGCCCAGAAGUAGGGGAUAACACCUGGAAACAGAUGCUAAUACCGUAUAACAGAGAAAACCGCAUGGUUUUCUUUUAAAAGAUGGCUCUGCUAUCACUUCUGGAUGGACCCGCGGCGUAUUAGCUAGUUGGUGAGGUAAAGGCUCACCAAGGCAGUGAUACGUAGCCGACCUGAGAGGGUAAUCGGCCACAUUGGGACUGAGACACGGCCCAGACUCCUACGGGAGGCAGCAGUAGGGAAUCUUCCACAAUGGACGCAAGUCUGAUGGAGCAACGCCGCGUGAGUGAAGAAGGGUUUCGGCUCGUAAAGCUCUGUUGUUAAAGAAGAACGUGGGUAAGAGUAACUGUUUACCCAGUGACGGUAUUUAACCAGAAAGCCACGGCUAACUACGUGCCAGCAGCCGCGGUAAUACGUAGGUGGCAAGCGUUAUCCGGAUUUAUUGGACGUAAAGCGAGCGCAGGCGGUCUUUUAAGUCUAAUGUGAAAGCCUUCGGCUCAACCGAAGAAGUGCAUUGGAAACUGGGAGACUUGAGUGCAGAAGAGGACAGUGGAACUCCAUGUGUAGCGGUGAAAUGCGUAGAUAUAUGGAAGAACACCAGUGGCGAAGGCGGCUGUCUGGUCUGCAACUGACGCUGAGGCUCGAAAGCAUGGGUAGCGAACAGGAUUAGAUACCCUGGUAGUCCAUGCCGUAAACGAUGAUUACUAAGUGUUGGAGGGUUUCCGCCCUUCAGUGCUGCAGCUAACGCAUUAAGUAAUCCGCCUGGGGAGUACGACCGCAAGGUUGAAACUCAAAAGAAUUGACGGGGGCCCGCACAAGCGGUGGAGCAUGUGGUUUAAUUCGAAGCUACGCGAAGAACCUUACCAGGUCUUGACAUCUUCUGACAGUCUAAGAGAUUAGAGGUUCCCUUCGGGGACAGAAUGACAGGUGGUGCAUGGUUGUCGUCAGCUCGUGUCGUGAGAUGUUGGGUUAAGUCCCGCAACGAGCGCAACCCUUAUUACUAGUUGCCAGCAUUAAGUUGGGCACUUUAGUGAGACUGCCGGUGACAAACCGGAGGAAGGUGGGGAAGACGUCAAAUCAUCAUGCCCCUUAUGACCUGGGCUACACACGUGCUACAAUGGAUGGUACAACGAGUCGCGAAACCGCGAGGUUAAGCUAAUCUUUUAAAACCAUUCUCAGUUCGGACUGUAGGUUGCAACUCGCCUACACGAAGUCGGAAUCGCUAGUAAUCGCGGAUCAGCAUGCCGCGGUGAAUACGUUCCCGGGCCUUGUACACACCGCCCGUCACACCAUGAGAGUUUGUAACACCCAAAGCCGGUGGGGUAACCUUUUAGGAGCUAGCCGUCUAAGGUG